Molecule: long non-coding RNA, 440 nt
Filed under: Mytilus galloprovincialis (Mediterranean mussel)
Lineage: Eukaryota; Metazoa; Mollusca; Bivalvia; Mytilida; Mytilidae
Source: RNAcentral
ACCAAAUGAGUAACAAAUGAAAUAAUAUUUUUUGUAGUAAACUUUAUAUAACAACUGAGUUUAUUAACAUGGUUAUGUGCACAGUACUUUUAGAAUAGUUUGAUAAAAGUUCGUCUAAAUACUUGAGUUACGGUCAUCUUUCAAAGUUACGACCAUCUUGUGUCGGUUACGACCAUCAUCCAAAAUACUAUAGUUGACAUUACGACCAUCACAAUUAAAAGUUACGACCAUCAUGCUCGAAUUUUUGAAUGACUAUUUUACGAAAAUUGGAAUGAUGUUAUGUGUCAAAUUUGGUUUCAAUAACAACGCACUCACGAUAUGUGUAUAUGAGACAAGCAGUUUGCCUCAAAUGAACCUUUUACUGCACGAAAAUUGGAAAAGAAAAACUUAUCCCUAGAGUUGUCUCCCAUAUUCAGAUGGUCGUAACUUUUAGUUACGAC